GGUGGUAGAGCUCAGUGGUAGAGUGCAUGCUUUGCAUGCAUGAGGUCCUAGGUUCAAUCCCCAGUACCACCA
Molecule: transfer RNA, 72 nt
Filed under: Camelus bactrianus (Bactrian camel)
Lineage: Eukaryota; Metazoa; Chordata; Mammalia; Artiodactyla; Camelidae
Also listed under: 2 other names
Rfam family: tRNA
About the family: Transfer RNA (tRNA) molecules are approximately 80 nucleotides in length. Their secondary structure includes four short double-helical elements and three loops (D, anti-codon, and T loops).
Source: Rfam by way of RNAcentral